UACGUAGGGUCCGAGCGUUGUCCGGAUUUAUUGGGCGUAAAGAGCUCGUAGGCGGCUUGCUAAGUCAGGUGUGAAACCUCCAGGCUCAACCUGGAGCCGCCACCUGAUACUGGUAUGGCUAGAGUCCGGAAGAGGCGAGUGGAAUUCCUGGUGUAGCGGUGGAAUGCGCAGAUAUCAGGAGGAACACCAAUAGCGAAGGCAGCUCGCUGGGACGGUACUGACGCUAAGGCGCGAAAGCGUGGGGAGCGAACAGG
This 254-nucleotide ribosomal RNA is filed under the name uncultured bacterium. RNAcentral describes it as "partial 16S ribosomal RNA". It matches the Rfam family "Bacterial small subunit ribosomal RNA", at positions 524 to 776 of the family's 1533-position model. The record is from RNAcentral.